This 3573-nucleotide long non-coding RNA is filed under the name Triticum aestivum (bread wheat). Its description in RNAcentral is "long non-coding RNA (TAES_LNC016162)". Lineage: Eukaryota; Viridiplantae; Streptophyta; Magnoliopsida; Poales; Poaceae. The record is from RNAcentral.
GACUGGUGGAUUAAAAUGACUGACACAAUCAUGUGUGAUCCAUUAUCAGGUUACAGAUUUGUGCCGCUGGCCCCAACAAGGCACAUUGCACUACUCGGGUAAGUGCGUUCAAGAAGGUUGUGAGGGUGUUCGCGGAAAAGCCGAUGAAUAAUGUAGUCACUCCAGUGUUGGAUACUACCUUCGACUUGCUUGUAGAAGCAUACGAUUUGUCUCUUCUCUGUGUAGAUAACAUGUUGAAUGUUGUUCAUACGAUUGCAUGUUGGCAGAAAUGAUGAGGAUUAGUAGGUGAAGACGAGGUACUGCUAUGGUUAUCGUAAAGAUCCUCCUCCAUGCCUCAUGGGAAGCAACAUCAUGAUUGCUCUUGCAAAAUCGAUGAUGAUGCUAUGAAUGUUAGUUCUGCUGCCAUUGUGGAUUAGCUUGUGCCCCUCAAAUGCUAUUGACAAGUUCCACCUUGAGUCCGUAGAUCAGUGGAAUUAUAAUGAGUAGUAUAAAACAUGAGAUGUCUGAUUGUAUAUAACCCGCACCUCCAAAUUGAUGUGUUCUAGGCUGUGUCUUUGAUUGAAAAUGUUUCUAGACUAUAAACUGUUCUAUCCGUGAUAACUGCAACUAGAAGAAUUUUUCCCAUUUAAAUUCUGUAAUCCCUAUUAGCUAAAACUUUAGCAUUACAAAGUUUUAUAUUUAAGUUCAGUUUCUUGGUAAGCCAUCCUCCUCAUGGUAGAGUUUCUCUUGCAGAUAGAUAAUUAUUUCUUCAAGUUUUGUUUUUCUGGUGUGUUUAGCUGUUUCUCAUGAUGUAGCUAUUGUUGCUUUUUUGUCUCAGGGUGUGAUUGUUCUGAUCACCUACUUCAACAACGGCUCGGGCGUAUGUGCCUCAAACUCUUAGCGUGGACUCACUAUUUAUGUUUGUUCUCCUAGGGUUUGUAGAUUGCGAAACAUGGCAAGUAACAUGUAGAUGCUCUAUUUCUUAUUCCCUGCUCUAGUUUAUUUCAAUUUAUAUUUCUCUGGACAUCAAGUCAAGUGCUGAAUUUUGAGGGUACGGAAGCUUGUAACAUCACGGGUUUCUUUGAUGAUAGUGAAUGUGAAGUAGGAUUGUAUUGUAUCUUCGUUUAUAGAUAUUUUUUAGUUACAACUCAAUACCAAAUUCUACAGUAGGGGUUCUUGUGGCAUCAACAGCUAUUGUAAUAAUGAAUGUAUAUUACGAUUGUAUUGUGCCCUUCGGUGUUUUCGUAUUUAUCAUGCAUACACAACAAAUCAUGAAAAUAAACUACAUUCGGCAUACUCAAAUAACACUGGGGUCUGGGACUAUUUUAUGGUGUUGUCGAUAUACUUUGUGAUUUAAAGUUACUGAUCUAUGGUCUGGUGUCAUAUUAUGGUCUAAUAUUUUUUGUUUUGAUUCUUUCUCUGUUGCCAGGAAUAGAUGUCGAUGAUGCCUACUUGCUUGCCAGCUACAGUGAUGCAUGGACCGGUGAAGCAAGCACACAUGCAAGGCUAGCCCCAUGUAUCUUCCUUGGGUGCAAACAUCAUCUACAAGUAUGAAAAAUGUAACACCUCUCUGUGUUGUUUUGCUCCUCUUCUCUCUGCAUCCGAGAAAAUUGGUGCUUAAUAUGCUAUUGAUUUACAGUGUCUGUUAGUUAACACCAAGCCUAAACUAUUGCUUUGUUUUUCCUCUUUAUGCCCCAAGUUUUACUAGCAACAAGCUCAACUUCAUGCUUUGUAGGAAAUAAGUACAUGAUUGUUUAUCCUCCUGUGUAACAGUUUAAGUUUGUGAGUUGAUCCUAUGUUCGUGUUAGCAAGUCUAAUUAGGCGUGUUCUGAUGAUAGUGAAGAAGAAAAGUGUCUUCUAAUGUGGUGGUGCCAAACAAAAGUUUUAUGCUUAUGUUGAGCUUACUUUUAAUAUGUGAACAUGACAAUUUAGAGGCUAUACUGAAGUUCCACUCAUUUUAUUCUGUGUGUUGAGCUUACCUUUGUAUGUCAGGAUUUUUUCUUCAUCUGUUACCCUUCCUUUGGCUGUAGUUUAUCUUUGUAUAGAAACCAAUCUUGGUGUUCUUCCUAUUUGCAUUUGAUUUACAUUUCGAAAUUCCCUAGCACAACUAUAUAUAACAAUGUCGGUAUGUGUUUUCUUAUUUUAGUGUCUAUAGUACAUUUGCAUGAUGUUGAAUUAUGUGCUACAGAAUAUACAUUAGCUGAUUUAAACUGCUAUUUUCCUAUGCCUAAUCAAAUGCCCUUUGUUUUUGCAGUAUGCAUACCCAGGUCAAACUUGCGAUCAUGGUGAAGGUGCUGAUCUAGGUUUCCUAUCUUCAGAAGUGAAAUGUUUGCUUGCUACCUUCUUUUGGGUACUGCUUUCUAAUCAAGUUCUUGAACACAAGAGUUACGCAUACAAAUCAUGUGCUAUUUAUGCUUAGGUUUAUGCACUGAUAGUCAUCUUCUUGUCUACUUAGCUGAAUCAUGUCUUUGUGUACUAAACAUCAAUUACUAGUAUUUGGCUUCUAUGUGCUAAUUAAACCCGAUAAAUAUAUAUAGUUCUUUGAGGUGCAAAUUCCAUAGUGCAUGUUUACGAGGUUAAGAUUCUACAGAUGUUGCAUAAUAUUGGUGACAAAGUGUCUCUCCUUAGGGGUUGAUUUAAAUAACAUAUGAUCUACUGAAAUAAAUUUUUUGGUGCCCAAACAUUGAAAUUCUGGUUCUUUGUUUCAAACACCAAAAUGUUGUUUACCUUGUCGUUCUAUGCUUAAAUGAUAAAAAUGUCUCAUUUAUAGGAAUGUAAACCUGAUGUAGAAUAGUAUUUACUUGUUGCUGUUAGUUACUACUUGUAUCCGCUGAUUUCUAUUCCUCAUUUUGCUUGUUUUACUCUUAUUUAUGCUCACGGACUGCCUACAAGUUAACAUGCUGUUAGAUUUGCCUUUACUUUGUUCCAAACCAUUUUGUUUGAUAACUUGCAGACGUUGUCCUUCAUUCAUGUUUCGUCGUGAGAUCUAGGACGAAGAAGUUGGGAGAAUCAUAAAGUUCUAGCUCAUUGGAGCUAGUUAUACUUGUAUGGCUAGUUAUUUUUUUUGGAUUUUUUAGUUGUGUUACCUGAUGUGAACUAGUUCUGAUUGUAAACCUCAUGUGAUCUUAGAACUAUUAUUGCUCUAGUCUGGUGGGAGUUGUGGAAGCAUAGGAAUGCUAUUGUUUUUGAAGGGGCGCGCCCUUGCUUGGAGUAUCUACUAGGGCGAGUGAGGCAUGAGGGCCAACUGUGGGCAUCGGCCGGGCUAAUGAAAGGGAAUGUAACUCCCUUCUUUACUAGAGUGGAGAGGUGGGAGAUGAGUGAGGAGUAAUAUGUAACAAAACCGUGUAAUUGUGGUGGAGGCUUUCUAUGCCUUUCUUCUUUAAUAUAUGAUAUGCACACUCAUGCAUAUUCGAAAAAAAUAAACCUCAUGUGAACCAUGUUUGAUUGCAAUGUGCCAAGUUUGGCUCUGUUUGAUUGUAUUCAUGAUGUGAACCAUGUUUUCAUGAUAUUUAGUUGUUCUUUGUUUGAAGCAUCGUCUAAUUAUUGGUUAUUUAUUUAUUGGAUCAUUGAAAUCUGAGGAAUAUAACCUUGACA